Molecule: long non-coding RNA, 550 nt
Organism: Clupea harengus (Atlantic herring)
Lineage: Eukaryota; Metazoa; Chordata; Actinopteri; Clupeiformes; Clupeidae
Source: Ensembl
GGGUGCCCAGAGCGGAUCUUGACUGACCAGGGGCCAGCAUUUGAAGCUGACUUGACCCAGCAGCUGUGUACCCUGUAUGGGUGUCGCAAGUGUUCGGCAGGCAUGCCCGCUUACCAGUGGACCAGUUGGCCGGGCUGGAGAGGCCAGAGCAACGAGGUCCCUUGCAGGACUGGGUCCAGCAGCACCACGCCCGUCUCCAGAAUGCCUACCAGCUGGUGAAAGAGCGAAAUCAACACCGACAACAACAGGACCAGGGACGACGCAACCAGGGCCCUAAGGCCCAGCCAUUAUUGCCUGGGGAGAGGGUCUUUGUUCGAGACUUCCGCCGCCGGGCCCGAGGGAAGCUGGGGUACCAUUGGGACCCACGACCAUAUGUGGUCCGGAGCCAGCCUACGAGGGACCGCCCUGUGUACGUUAUCCGACCAGAAGGAAGGGAGGGACCUCUGCGCACCCUGCACCAAAACAACUUGUGUGUGCAGCCCAGCAGCUGGCGGAGUGGGGCUCAUGGGGGCGUAGGUGAAUUGGCAGGGAGCCAGCCCACAGUACCGCC